Molecule: small RNA, 93 nt
Filed under: Spermophilus dauricus (Daurian ground squirrel)
Lineage: Eukaryota; Metazoa; Chordata; Mammalia; Rodentia; Sciuridae
Description: ZEB2 antisense RNA 1 conserved region 3 (ENSSDAG00000010317.1)
Rfam family: ZEB2 antisense RNA 1 conserved region 3 (bases 33-93)
Source: RNAcentral
AUCAGAGGGAUACAGGAACGCAGGACACAGGGUUUGGCAUCAUUAUCCUCAUCACUAAAUCCUACAGAGUACAGGGCGGAAAACGGUGCACAC